CACAGAGGAUAUUCAGUGCUAAACCUACAGACAUUAAAUUGGACUUCAGAACAGAUUUAAAGAACAAGGCAGAUGUAAAGGCUAUACCAUGCCCUCAAAUUUGUCAUUCCAGAAAGAUUCAUAAUUAUGGAC
This is a long non-coding RNA of Melospiza melodia melodia, 132 nucleotides long. RefSeq lists it as uncharacterized. Lineage: Eukaryota; Metazoa; Chordata; Aves; Passeriformes; Passerellidae. The transcript is spliced from 3 exons. The record is from RefSeq and is a predicted model, not a curated record.